This 270-nucleotide ribosomal RNA is filed under the name uncultured bacterium. RNAcentral describes it as "partial 16S ribosomal RNA". It matches the Rfam family "Bacterial small subunit ribosomal RNA", at positions 28 to 306 of the family's 1533-position model. The record is from RNAcentral.
AACGAACGCUGGCGGCAGGCUUAACACAUGCAAGUCGCGCGAUCGGGGGCAACCUCGGGAGCGGCGGACGGGUGAGUAACGCGUAGGUAUCUAUCUAUGGGUGGGGGACAACCGCGGGAAACUGCGGCUAAUACCGCAUGACGACUUCGGCCGGGAGGCUGGGGUCCAAAGCAGCGAUGCGCCUGUGGCGGAGCCUGCGUCCGAUUAGCUUGUUGGUGGGGUAAUGGCCUACCAAGGCUUUGAUCGGUAGCUGGUCUGAGAGGAUGAUCA